GAGGGUAUAGCUCAGUGGUAGAGUGCCUGCUUAGCAUGCAUGAGGUCCUGGGUUCAAUCCCCAAUACCUCCA
RNAcentral lists this transfer RNA (72 nucleotides) under Camelus bactrianus (Bactrian camel). It matches the Rfam family "tRNA". Rfam says of the family: Transfer RNA (tRNA) molecules are approximately 80 nucleotides in length. RNAcentral also lists the same sequence under 2 other names. Lineage: Eukaryota; Metazoa; Chordata; Mammalia; Artiodactyla; Camelidae. The record is from Rfam by way of RNAcentral.